Molecule: ribosomal RNA, 734 nt
Filed under: Lactococcus lactis
Lineage: Bacteria; Bacillati; Bacillota; Bacilli; Lactobacillales; Streptococcaceae
Description: bacterial SSU rRNA
Rfam family: Bacterial small subunit ribosomal RNA
Source: RNAcentral
GUGAUUUUGAGCGGAGGACACAUUUGGAAACGAAUGCUAUACCGCAUAAAAACUUUAAACACAAGUUUUAAGUUGAAGAUGCAAAUUGCAUCACUCAGAGAUGAUCCGCGUUGUAUAGCUAGUUGGUGAGGUAAAGGCUCACCAGGGCGAUGAUACAUAGCCGACCUGAGAGGGUGAUCGGCCACAUUGGGACUGAGACACGGCCCAAACUCCUACGGGAGGCAGCAGUAGGGAAUCUUCGGCAAUGGACGAAAGUCUGACCGAGCAACGCCGCGUGAGUGAAGAAGGUCUUCGGAUCGUAGAACUCUGUUGGUAGAGAAGAACGUUGGUGAGAGUGGAAAGCUCAUCAAGUGACGGUAACUACCCAGAAAGGGACGGCUAACUACGUGCCAGCAGCCGCGGUAAUACGUAGGUCCCGAGCGUUGUCCGGAUUUAUUGGGCGUAAAGCGAGCGCAGGUGGUUUAUUAAGUCUGGUGUAAAAGGCAGUGGCUCAACCAUUGUAUGCAUUGGAAACUGGUAGACUUGAGUGCAGGAGAGGAGAGUGGAAUUCCAUGUGUAGCGGUGAAAUGCGUAGAUAUAUGGAGGAACACCGGUGGCGAAAGCGGCUCUCUGGCCUGUAACUGACACUGAGGCUCGAAAGCGUGGGGAGCAAACAGGAUUAGAUACCCUGGUAGUCCACGCCGUAAACGAUGAGUGCUAGAUGUAGGGAGCUAUAAGUUCUCUGUAUCGCAGCU